UACGGAGGAUGCGAGCGUUAUCCGGAUUUAUUGGGUUUAAAGGGUGCGUAGGCGGACUGGAAAGUCAGCGGUAAAAUCGAGAGGCUCAACCUCUUUCCGCCGUUGAAACUGUCGGUCUUGAGUGGGCGAGAAGUACGCGGAAUGCGCGGUGUAGCGGUGAAAUGCAUAGAUAUCGCGCAGAACUCCGAUUGCGAAGGCGACCUGCUAGAACAUAACUGACGCUGAUGCGCGAAAGCGUGGGUAUCGAACAGG
RNAcentral lists this ribosomal RNA (252 nucleotides) under uncultured Bacteroidales bacterium. RNAcentral's name for it is "partial 16S ribosomal RNA". It matches the Rfam family "Bacterial small subunit ribosomal RNA", at positions 524 to 776 of the family's 1533-position model. The record is from RNAcentral. Lineage: Bacteria; Pseudomonadati; Bacteroidota; Bacteroidia; Bacteroidales.